RNAcentral lists this long non-coding RNA (1693 nucleotides) under Homo sapiens (human). RNAcentral's name for it is "HSALNT0378068". Lineage: Eukaryota; Metazoa; Chordata; Mammalia; Primates; Hominidae. The record is from RNAcentral.
CUGCCACCCAGGCGUCCCGAAUUAAAAUUGAGCGCCUCACUGGAGGCCCCAUAGUGUUAUUCAAAGGCCACAGUUUAUUCCCACUUCUGCAGCUGACUAGAAAAACAGGGUUUCCCAUUGGUAAGGAAGUCAAGAAAGAAAGGAGAGAGGACAAAGAGAGGAGAGAGAGAAGGGAGAGAGGAGAGAGACAGAAGAGAGAAACUUCCACAAGGCCAGGGACCAGUUCUGGCUGGUUGUUUGCUCACUUUGAGUUCCAGAGACUAAAUCUUGAAACAAUAUAGGCAUCUGUGGAAAUCUCCACCAGGAGAUUGAUUCAAGGCUACAGUUAAUUUAUAACUCAGCCCAGCCCGAGAUGAUGCCAGCCCAUUCACCAGAUGGGCAGUAACUCAAGACAAGUCAUCAGAACUCGUCAUGAAGACCUGCACUGCCUCACCCCUUGCAUACCCUCCAUGCCAAAACUUCUUAAAGCCUCGCAUUUUGCUUGGAAAUGUGAAGCAGCUCCAUUAAAGCAAAAGCCUGGAUCGUUUUUCCCCACUGCUAGCUUUGGUUUAUAAUAAAGUCAGUCUCCUUCUACCAUACCACGACCUUGCUCGUUGGUUUUGCAAGCGGCCGAAUCUGCAUUCGCUAGCACUACUAGCCACCACAUAAGCCUUUACUGACUGGUUGAACAAAGCAUAUGUCACUAAAUGAAGGCCAGUUCUGCCAUCACUUCUGUGCCACCUGCGACCUCUUUGAGUCUCUCUUCCCCAGUCCCCCUCCCCCAAUCUUCUACCCCAAACAGGCUCUGAAGGAGGGACUGGACAAUGCACCCAGUUUCAGUACCCAGUGUCUGAGUUGCACGAUUUCCAGUUUGUGGCUGGAGCCUUGGUUGUUCAGGGAAGCCUUCUGGGGAGUCACCAGAUCCUGGACCAGCUGGGUACAUCAUAACACUGAAAGGCUAAUAGGAGGAAGAAGGAGAGAGUUAGUAUUGUGGCCUUCCCACUACUUACCCUUAGUUCUAGAGGUGGCAAUGUCUGCCUGCCUUCAGGCAACAGCACUUAUCCCUUUGAGAUGAAACAGAGGCCCAGCAAUCUGAAGGUUGGGAAGCUGCUUAGAAAUUAGUGCACAAAUGGUGGAUCUACCAAAGGCGCUCCCGAGGUCAGGCCCCCUCCUUUGAUGUAGCUUAAGUAAAACCCUCCUUGUACCCUCCUUCCAUUUUGUACCAUGAGUUAUCCAGAAGUCCAAGUUCCAAAUCAGAUCCUAAUCAAGGGUAACGGUUCCCUUAUCUCCACUGGGAAAAUGCUUUCAAAAUACAAAUUUCUAGGCCCUACUCCCAGAGUUCUGAUUUAGCAGCCCUGGAAUGAGGCCCUUAAACACUUACUUAUUCCAAUGCACGGUUUGGGAACCUCUGCUAAAGGAUCCAGUCUCAACUGGGCUGUUCAGUGCACAGUGUGGGCACAAUGUGUCAGCCCAACUGAUCUAUGUUCUUUCAGAGGCUUUUUCUGCGGCCAGUUAAGUGAGGCUUCCCUCUUUUUGUUUCCUGGUCCAUAAUCAGCCGUGUUGGAAGGUGUAGGGUGAUAUAAGGAUCACAAGCUUUGGAGUUAGACCAACUGAGUUGAAAUCCUGGCUCUGCCACUUUUUACCUGUGGAAUCUCUCAGGUUGCCUAAGCUCUUGGGGCCUCAGUUUCCUCAUUGUGCCUGACCCAGUAUAAAC